UACGGGGGGGGCAAGCGUUGUUCGGAAUUACUGGGCGUAAAGGGCCCGUAGGCGGCCAACUAAGUCGGAUGUGAAAUCCCCGGGCUCAACCUGGGAACUGCAUUUGUGACUGCAUCGCUGGAGUGCGGCAGAGGGGGAUGGAAUUCCGCGUGUAGCAGUGAAAUGCGUAGAUAUGCGGAGGAACACCGAUGGCGAAGGCAAUCCCCUGGGCCCGCACUGACGCUCAUGCACGAAAGCGUGGGGAGCAAACAGG
This 253-nucleotide ribosomal RNA is filed under the name uncultured bacterium. Its description in RNAcentral is "partial 16S ribosomal RNA". It matches the Rfam family "Bacterial small subunit ribosomal RNA", at positions 524 to 776 of the family's 1533-position model. The record is from RNAcentral.